This 460-nucleotide ribosomal RNA is filed under the name uncultured bacterium. Its description in RNAcentral is "partial 16S ribosomal RNA". It matches the Rfam family "Bacterial small subunit ribosomal RNA", at positions 339 to 795 of the family's 1533-position model. The record is from RNAcentral.
CUACGGGCGGCAGCAGUGAGGAAUAUUGGUCAAUGGGCGCAAGCCUGAACCAGCCAUCCCGCGUGAAGGAAGACGGCCCUAUGGGUUGUAAACUUCUUUUCUGUUCCAAGAAUAAGCCCUACGCGUAGGGUGAUGACGGUAGGACAGGAAUAAGCAUCGGCUAACUCCGUGCCAGCAGCCGCGGUGAAUACGGAGGAUGCAAGCGUUAUCCGGAUUCAUUGGGUUUAAAGGGUGCGUAGGCGGAAGCCUAAGUCAGUGGUGAAAUCCUGCGGCUCAACCGUAGAACUGCCAUUGAUACUGGGUUUCUUGAAUACAGUUGAGGUAGGCGGAAUGUGCAGUGUAGCGGUGAAAUGCUUAGAUAUUGCACAGAACACCGAUUGCGAAGGCAGCUUGCUAAACUGAUAUUGACGCUGAUGCACGAAAGCGUGGGUAGCGAACAGGAUUAGAUACCCCCGUAGUC